This 3513-nucleotide long non-coding RNA is filed under the name Podarcis lilfordi (Lilford's wall lizard). The record is from RNAcentral. Lineage: Eukaryota; Metazoa; Chordata; Lepidosauria; Squamata; Lacertidae.
GGAAGCUGGCCCGGUGGCAGCUUUGUUGGGACUUCUUUAGGGUCUCUGGCCAGUGUUGGCCCUGUAAAUUUACACAUCAUGGUGGCAACACAAGGCAGGGCUUCUUGCCCAAGCGGGAGCUGGCAAGCAAUAACUCAAUACCUCUCGCCCAUAUUUCCAUAAAAAUAUCUCCCUUUAAAGCCUGGCUAAAAGGUUAUCUAGAUGCGUCAGUAGCUUUGUGCUUGUGGGAAGGGUUUUUCCCAAGGUUUCGGGAUUCCUCUGGCUUUUCAGCCAGUGGCUCAGAAUACAGCAACUCAAAAGUCAGUUAGAGUCUGUGGUAGCCAGAAAGUCUGUGGUAGCCAGAAAGAAGGUUAGGAAGCAGCUUGCAUUGGGACGUAUGGUGGGAUCCCCUUGAUUCUCCUUCUAGUCCCGAUUUUCAUUUAUCCCCAUUGGGGAUCGUCCCUAAGAAAGCCCCAUAUAAUUCCAUCUGAUCCAUAUUUAUCGCACCCCAAAGGCACCUCAGUGAAUGAUGCUAUCCCUCCGGAAUUGUUCCGUGAAAUAUGCAUCUUUGGAUCAGGCAGUUGAGCUUACCAACAAAUUGGAGGAGGUGCCUUGUUGGCAUUAUGCGAUAUUGAAUCGGCUGUUAGGCUGCUGCCGGUUCACCCUCAAGAUUUUAAGUAGUUAGGCUUUAAUUGGAUGGUCCUUAUAUGGAUAAGGCGAUGCCAGUUGGUUGCUCAAUAGGCUGUGCAGCACUUGAGUCCUUUAGCGCCUUUCUGGAUUGAACAUUGCGAGUCAAGACUCGUUUAACUGGGGGUAUCGUUAUGUGGAUUAUUUUACUGGCUGGUUCAUGUGACACCAGCCUCUGCUUAGCUUACUAGAUGCCCCUUUAUUCCCUGAGGAGCUGGGUGUUCUGUUGGCAGUGGAGGACAGUGGCUCCUACUGCCCCUUUUAAUGUAUUUGGGGGCUAGCUGGAUACCGUUGCUCAAACAUCUGCUUGCCUGUGGAAAAGCUGUUUGCCUUGAAGGAUGUUAUUCUUGUAAUACUUCCUCUGAAGCAAGUGUUGCUUUGUCAGAUCCUAUCAUUCCUAGGUCAGUUAAAUUUUGCAUGCAGGGUGGUUGCUCCAGGCUGCCCCUUCCAUUCCUGCUUGGCCAGGUGGUCUCAUGGCCCGGUGUCCCUUCAUCAUCAUGUACAGUGGCCUUGAGCCUGGCAGGGCAAGGCAAUCACAUGUAACCUAACUUUUCUUGAGUUUUCCUCAUUGUAGUGUCAGCGCACAUCUGGACUGAGGAGUUUAGGGACCGUCAGGUCUGUCUUGGUCUGAUAACCAGGCAGUGUGAGAGUCCUGGCAAAACGGUCUUCAUGCUCUGGCAGAGUCUUCGCACUGCUUAAGGUUUAAUAUUGCGUUUCUGCUCACUUUAUUUCAGGAUCAUCUAAUGUUUUUGCUGUGGCUCUAUCCCGUUUUUUCAGUUGGAGAGCUUCAGAUCCUGGGCUCUGGACACCCAGCUAUUUUUCUGGAGCUCCUGUGGCACUUGGCAACAAUUAAUAAUUAUGAGGAAUAGUAGCUUACGUUUCCCCAUCCGCUUUCAGGUCUUAUGAGAAGGCCUGGACUGAUUUCUUAAAAUUUAGCUGGUAGUCCUCGGCCAUUCAGAGGAACCUGCCCCCAUCCUCUGAGCAGGACCUGCAGUAAUUCGCCCACCUGCUGCAGAUAGGAUGCAGUGUUAAAACUAUCAGAAUUCAGUCCGCUGCAAUGUCUGCUAGAGUAAAGCUUUAAUUUUCAGAGACCCUUCUAAAAGUGUGUCAUGCGCAGGGUCUCGGAAGGUUGGAAUAGGCUCUGACCUUCACAGGACAGCAGGCAGGAAGCCGGUCAAUCUUUGACCUAUGCAGUAUCUGCAACAAGUUGAGACUUGUUGGCUGGUUCAAGAUCAAGACGAGACUUAUUUCAGUAUUCCAUUGUAAUUUUGGUGUACUGAGGGUUGGGGAAAUUGUGUUGGAGCCAGCACGGGGCUGAGAGUUUGGAGGCUUAUUGCCUCAGGACUUUUCCUUAUCUGCUUUGGAGCUUGUCAUAAGUGUCUGGAGCUCUAAGUCAGACCUAGUGAGCAGGGUUGCCACCAUCAGGCUUCCAGUCACAGGUGAGGUGGGCCCUUGCCCUGUUAUUGGAUACCGGAAAUAUUUGGCUUUUCGUUCCCCUGGGGGCUGGCUCAAUCCUAGUGCACAGAAAUGGGUUCCGGUUCGACAGGCAUCUAAUUGCUCACGUCGUGCGCCAGUUAUUGCAGCCUGCGGCUUGCCUACCGCUGAACACGCCUCAUUCCUUCCAAAUAGGUGCUGCUGCAAAGGCUGCGCAUUGGGGCCUGUUAGUAGACAGGAUUGUGAAUACGGGUCAUUGGAAGUCUGACGCUGACAAAGGUUAUGUCAGGAAGCAUCGCCAAUGAUGCCUGUGCUGAUGCCUGUCUGUUAUUCCUUUUUUCAUAGGAGCAGCUGUGCGCAUUUGGAUUGUCGGCCACAGCAUCAUGCACUGAGCUGGCAAGCACCCUGACGAGUCUGGACUGGGGGCGCCAUCUCGGCCUUCCUGCCCAUGUUUCUAGCUCCAGUCCGCAUCUGGAUUGUGGGGCACAGCAUCGUUUACUGGGCUGGCAUCAGAGCUAGGCAGUCUGGAAGGGGACUGGGUCUUGGCCUCCCGCAGCAUGUGCAGGUGUUGUGGAUGUCCAGGCGCAGAAUGCAGUGGAGCGAAUUCAUCCCGCUAAUUAAGCAGAGGGUGCUUCGGAUGGCCCCCAUGGCAAUUGUGGUUCAGCGGGGGAGAACGAUGUGGCAACUUAUGAUUGCUUUACUUUGCGCUCCACGAUUCAGAGAGACUUGGGUGAAUUGGUGACCUUAAUACCCACAGUUAAAAUAUUUUGGUCACAAUUGCUGCAAAGGCGCAAUUGGCACGGCAUUUCUCGACCUGAGGCUGCUGAAAGGGCCAGGAAGCGCAUUAAUUCUGCAGUGUGUAAGAAGGUGGCGGAUUUGGGUGGAUUGGUUAUUUCCCGCCCGGAUAUUACCUUCAAGGCUCUGGCCCUUUACCGCAAUGAUGGAGUACAUCUCUCUGUACUGGGGAAUGAUGUUUGGUUGGAUGCGGUAACUGCAAGGUUGAAGGUUGGGUUGGGAUUGUGAGUGGUUGGCGGCGAGCGUAAAGGGCCUCGAUUGGCGGUUAGGCAUUGGUUAUAAAUUGGUGGAGGAGGGGUUAGGAUAGGCUGGGCCUGCCCCUCCAUGGUUGCUGCGGAAAGGGAAUUCCGUUAAAGGAAUCCUGGGGCUUGCCAUCUUUUCGUCCAAUCCCUGGAAUGGGACUAGGGCCGGCAAGCCUUCGGGGAGCAUGCGGAUGAGAAUUGAGGGUCUGUGACCCAGCUCCAUUUCUCUCCGACUUGCUUUCCCCGCACUGUCUUUCGGUGGUGCCCGGAAGUCAGUUCUGUCCCCAGGCGGGGGACAGAUAGUCUUAACCAAUGCCUAAACAACCACUCACGGUUUUGUAUUUAAAUAAAGUUGUGGCCAAAAUUAUGCCAAAAA